Molecule: long non-coding RNA, 1833 nt
Organism: Corythoichthys intestinalis (scribbled pipefish)
Lineage: Eukaryota; Metazoa; Chordata; Actinopteri; Syngnathiformes; Syngnathidae
Exons: 3
Source: RefSeq, a predicted model, not a curated record
UACGAUGGGUGAAUUAUGUCAAACAACAAAGGGUCACCACACUAUCUGUCUGUCUGUCACGACUUAUUGCAAUUAACUCCUAGCAUGCGACUGCUAUGAGUGAUAACCUUGAUUUUUGUGCUUUACCCAACAUACCCUUUUUUAUUCAGUGUUAUUACAGGUUUUACCAGAAAUUUGAGUAAAAGCAAACAAUUUUUUGAAUUUAUAUAUAUAUAUAUGUGUGUGUGUAUUUUAAGACGUGCUUUUGGAAAUGAACUCUUCUUAUGUAAAUUGUGUUUCCUGAAAAAGGUCACUCAAAUAUAAUUAUUAACAACCACACAUUAAUUAAAGUUACAGUGAGACCCCUUCAGACCCGCAGUUUUACUGAUGGGGAAAAAAAUAAUACAAUCUGCCCUGAUUUUUACUCAAACACCACAACAAAGUGCAAUUUUUUGGUUUGGUUAUUUAAAGUUUUUAUUGGUCAUUUUUUAUGUUAAUGUGUUUUUGAUGACAAACGGGCACUUUACGUUAUUCGUUUUGAAAGAGCCAAAAAUAGCAAAGAGGGCUUCUCACUACUCAUGAUUUGAUUUCAAUGGGUAAAGUUUCAUACAAUCAUCUCCCAGAAGUGACAAUUGCAACUGAAUUCACUGUAUUUAUUGGUUUAGAGAUGCGCACGCAUCAUGUCCUCCUGCAGCAAGUCUGAAGGGGUUAAAACAUAUUGACGUUCACAGCUGGCGCGGGAAGACUGAUUAAGCACCGCCCAAUGCAUUGCAGAUGAGAACAAUUGAAUGAGAGGAGGAAGUGCAACUUUUGGAAAGUCACCCUGAUUAAAGUACAUAUACUACCUGUUUUAACGCAGAGGUAAGUGUUAUUUUGACCCAAUAUACACUCUCCUUGAUUGGAGUGAUGGUAUAGUUAAAAAUAAAACGUUUAAAAUAAGCAGCUUCGUUGUGAUGGUAGCAUUUAGCACAUAAUUGGCCUUGCUCUGAGGCGCACGUAAUUUAACCAACUAAUUUAGCAUUGUAGCGAUAGCGAUUUAUAUAAGCAUAUAAGACAACUAUGCUAUGCAGUUAGUGCAGAAAUUCAGUGCCGGUAUGUAUGUGCUGCAAGGACUUACUUUAGUGAGCUAGCUUAGCAUAGUAGCCAAAACGUUUUUAUUGAAGCACCUCUAUGCAAACUAGCAAUAUGCUAUGUAGGACAUUAACGUAUACCCUCUUGCGUGGACAAAUUUAACAAGAUAGUUUUGCAUUAUAGUGUAACUCUUUUAUAAAAGCGCUAAGAAAGCUAUGUAAUGCAGCUACAUUGUUUAAAGAAAAUUACAAAUUGGUGUGGCAGCAGGCAGAAAUUUAGCCUAUAAUACCAAUAAUGUGUAAAAUCAUUAUAUUUUAUUUUUUAGAAUUGGCAAUGCCUUCCCUGAGAAGCAGGAAAUCACCAAAACAGGAUGCCAUUGAACAUGCUUUAAUGGGUCUGGAUAAGACUCUCGAGUUGGAGAAGAAGUACAUCAGUUCUUUUAAAGGUCGAGGAGUAUUUACCAAAGCCCCUUUCAGGAAAGAAGAUUUUGUGGUGGAGUACAGAGGAGAAUUAAUAGAUUGGGAUGAAUCCCAAAAGAGAAAGAUGGACUAUGGAACAGGAAGAGUCUUUGUCUUUGAUUUCCGCUGGCAAGAAAAAACUUGGUGCAUUGAUGCUGCCAAAGAAGAUGGCAGUCUCGGAAGACUGGUCAAUGAUGACCACAAGCACCCAAAUUGUAAAAUGAAGAUGAUUGUGACAGAGGGCAAGCCUCACCUGUGUUUAUUUGCACAAAGAGACCUUGACAUUGGUGAAGAGAUAACUUAUGACUACGGACCAGCGGACUGG